UUCAUUUUCUGCCUGGAAACUUGGUUCUUCUGGGUCAGAGCUUUGGAACAGCUGACAGAUUGGAAAUUCACUGGUAUGAACUUGGUCAUAAAGACUUCCCUGGAGCUAGUUUGGUAGCCGACCUGCAUGACUUUCUCUGGGUUUCAGCAAAGGGGACGUCUGACUGACAGCCCUGGUGAUGACAGCAACUACACCUUUGAGACGUCUGGGAGGUCCUAGAAAUCACCUCAAGUCUCCAGUCCAGGACACAACUGCCUAGGGGAAUCCCAGGGACAGGCGGCAGAGAUUGCAUGGCCUGCAAGGUGACGGACUCCAAAAUGUGAUCACUGCAGAAUUCACCAAAUUCCAAACCACUGGCAGUUGGAACGCACAAGCCCCCUACUGGCGAGGAGGCAAGGGAAGCAACCUGGGAGGAGGCCCAUUACUUGGAUAGAAAGAGAUGGACCACCUUCUCAGGUCUUCCGGAAGUUGCUGGAACAUGGCGAGGAAGGGAUGCCAUCACUCAAAGGUCAUAGGAUGGAAUCAAGAAACUCUUACAGUGGAACUAAGCCUGAAGUACUUCAAGCCCUGGGGCCCCACUUUUGGGUUGUACUGUUCUCUCUCUCUCUCUCUCUCUCUCUCUCUCUCUCUCUCUCUCUCUCUCUCUCUCUCUCCCUCUCUCUCUCUCUCUCUCUCUCUCUCUCUCUCUCUCUCUCUCUCUCUCCUGUAUUUCUCUUUUCUUAGUGCAGGGAACUGUACACAGGAACUGAUUUAACAGGUAUAAUUUUGGUCCCAAAUUAGCCAUGUUUUGUGAAGAUGUUACUAGAAACUUAGGACAGUCCUGCCAGAGUCACUGCAUGUCACCUGGGGAAUCCAGGGAAUGCUCAUGGAACCCUUAAGUCCCGUUAAUAAAAAAUAAUAUAAAAACCGA
Arvicola amphibius (Eurasian water vole) is the source of this 910-nucleotide long non-coding RNA. RefSeq lists it as uncharacterized. The record is from RefSeq and is a predicted model, not a curated record. Lineage: Eukaryota; Metazoa; Chordata; Mammalia; Rodentia; Cricetidae. The transcript is spliced from 4 exons.